This is a long non-coding RNA of Equus asinus (donkey), 1686 nucleotides long. Lineage: Eukaryota; Metazoa; Chordata; Mammalia; Perissodactyla; Equidae. The record is from Ensembl.
CUUUAUCCAGUUUCCCCAAUGGAAACAUUCACAGAACUGUAGUAAAACAUCACAACCAGGAUAUCAACGCUGAUGCAGUCAAGAUACAGAGCUUUUCUCCACCCGGCGUGUUGUCCUCCCAUAGACACACCCUCUUCCCUCCCAUCCACUCCCAUCUUGGCCCCCGGCAACCACUCAUCUGUUCUGCAUUUCUUUAUUUUCAUCAUUUCAAGAGUGGUAUAUAGACGGAAGCAUACAAUAUGUAACUUUUUGGAACUGGCUUUUUUUUCCACUCUCCAUAAUUCUCUUGAGAUUCAUCUAACUGGUUGUGUAUUUCAAUGGUUUGUUGCUUUUUACUGAAGAGUCUUCCAUGGUGGGAAUGGACCAGUUUGUCCCACCAUUCAUCCAUUGAAGGACACUUGGGUUGUUUCCCGGUUUGGGUUGUACAAAUAAAGGUGCUAUAAAUAUUCAUGUACUGGUUAUGUACAAACACGAUCAUCAUUUCUCUGGGAGAAAUGCCCAGGAGUACGAUUCCUGGGUCAUGUGGUAGUUGUAUGUUAGUUUUUUGAGAAGCUGGCAAACUGUUUUCCUUAGAGGCUUCGCGGUCGGACGUUCCCACCAGCAAAGGAGGGGAGAACCGGUUUCUUCACACCCUCCCCGACUUUGUUGUCGUCACUAUUUUUUAUUCCAGCCGUUCUGAUAGGUGUGCACUCCAGUCUUAUUGUGGCUUGAACUUGGACUUCCCUAAUGGUCAACUAUGGUGAACAGGUCCUUGCCUUCUUUAUUGCCUCUGCGGAGAAAUGUCUCCCCAUGUCUUUUGCCCACAUUCUGAAUGGAUUGUUUGCUUGUUUACAGUUGAACUGUGAGAAUUCUUCCUCUAAACUAGAUACUAGUCCGUUGUCAGAUGCACAGAAUGCUAACAUUUCCUCCCCUCUUGCCAGUCUGUUUGCCCUUUUAACGGACUUUCACGGGGGAAAGCCUUCAUUUUGAUGAAGUCCAGUGUACCCACCUUUCUUUUUAUGGGUUGUGCUUUUGGUGUCCAGCGUAAGACCUGUUUGCCUAGCCCUAGAGCCCAGAGAUGUUCUUCUGUUUGUUUUUAAGCUUUACAGUUUUAUGUUUCCAUUGGAAUCUGUCGUCCAUUUUGACUUUUCAACAUCUUCACAUUGGUGAACUCUGCUGUUCUUUCCUUACUGCACAGAGGAAACACCGCGUCCUGGAGGAAAUAAUGUCUUCUGGAUAGAUCUUAGGUGCAGCCCUUGUGGCACUUCUGUGUUCCAAAUCUUAGAACGUUGUUGCUGGAAGGCAUCACAGAAAAGCUCUACCUCAGUGUUUCCCAAAAGUGUGCUCCAUGGAACCUGAAGGCACCCUGUGAUUAAAGGGUUCUGUGGCCAAGUGGGUUGGCGAAGACUGCAGACUUCUCUGUUCCCUUCCUUCCUCUUGAUACUUUGUUAAAGGUUCUGAGAAGGUUUGCAGCCAAUAAAUCUGUUUAGUGUUGUUUAACUCAAUGCUUCCCUAUUUGCUUGACCUCAUAAUCCCCCUUUUAUAACGUGCAGAACACGUUUUUGGAGCACCUGUUUUUCUUCUGGUGCCCACAUUUUAGUCUUGAAGAAACUAUGGGCCCCCAAAGGUGAGAGCUUUGUCGGUCUAGUGACCACAGGAGUGCUGUGUGUUUCCCCUCAUCUCCUUUUGCCUUUCCUGUGGCGUUCC